Molecule: long non-coding RNA, 721 nt
Organism: Gallus gallus (chicken)
Lineage: Eukaryota; Metazoa; Chordata; Aves; Galliformes; Phasianidae
Source: Ensembl
AGCAAAGUGAGGGUAGUGAGUGACAGCCCGAACCUGUGGCGCACUCAUUAAUUCCAACAGCAGAGCUGUGAUUGAUGUGUCAGCUCCCUGCUGCUCUGCGAUUCGGGCGGCUGGUUCCACCUUACGUCUGCUGUUACUGCUGCAAUCCCAGCUGCGGAAGGGGAGAAGAGGAGGAAAGAGCACGGAGGAGGGGAAGGGAAAAUGCCUGGGCAGAUCCACCUCAGUGCUGUGGCUGUCUUGGCACGGCCCCCAGGCAGCUUUCCCUCCUGGAGGCAGUCAUGGCCAUGGGAGGUAGUGAGACAUGAGGCGAGGAGAGCACCAGCUGUGACACCACGAUCUGAGGUUUCAUCCAUCGCUGUCUGCCGGUGUGAAUCAAGACUUCUCAUCCCUCCUCCUGAGGAGAGCAGCUACCCAUGAAGCAGAUGCAGAUUCACAAGAGAUGUGGAUAACUUAUGGACUAUGGAGAAGGAGACAGAGACAGAGCAGCCUGGCAAAUCCCAGGUCGGGGCCCCCGGUGGAGUCCUGUAACCACAGGAUAGGGAUACCAGAAGGAACAGAAAUGAAAGCAGCCAUAAACUGGGAAACAAUCCUGUCCCUCUGAUGGAAAAGAUGCAAAUCUCUGAGGCUGCGGUGACGUUUUAUGCCCAUGUCCUAAUGAAGCGCAAGACACAUUUCUGAAUACAGCCAUAAAAAGAGACCUUUGCAUAAUGCUUGUCUGCAG